Molecule: ribosomal RNA, 407 nt
Filed under: uncultured bacterium
Lineage: Bacteria
Description: partial 16S ribosomal RNA
Rfam family: Bacterial small subunit ribosomal RNA
Source: RNAcentral
GACGAACGCUGGCGGCGUGCUUAACACAUGCAAGUCGAACGGAGCGGCGGACGGGUGAGUAAUGCCUAGGAAUCUGCCUGAUAGUGGGGGAUAACGUUCGGAAACGGACGCUAAUACCGCAUACUAUCAGAUGAGCCUAGGUCGGAUUAGCUAGUUGGUGGGGUAAUGGCUUACCAAGGCUACGAUCCUUAACUGGUCUGAGAGGAUGAUCAGUCACCCUGGAACUGAGACACGGUCCAGACUCCUACGGGAGGCAGCAGUGGGGAAUAUUGGACAAUGGGCGAAAGCCUGAUCCAGCCAUGCCGCGUGUGUGAAGAAGGUCUUCGGAUUGUAAAGCACUUUAAGUUGGGAGGCGUUACCAACAGAAUAAGCACCGGCUAACUCUGUGCCAGCAGCCGCGGUAAUAC